Molecule: long non-coding RNA, 585 nt
Filed under: Homo sapiens (human)
Lineage: Eukaryota; Metazoa; Chordata; Mammalia; Primates; Hominidae
Description: non-protein coding lnc-STOML2-2:2
Source: RNAcentral
AGUAACUGCCCCAACCACUACCACGUCCCCAAGUGCAACGGGACCCACGGAACUACAGGUGUGGGGCAGGGUGAGCGUGGAAGAAGGGACGCGGAUGGGGGUGCGCUUUGCAGACGAUCUGGAGACUGCUGUGUGUUGAGGGAAGAUACGAAGUCGCGGGAGCAGUUGGGGACUCAAUGUGUGGGCAACAAGGGUCCUGCUGAGCUCAGGAGCUGCACGGAAUGGUGGCAGUCACCUUGCCAGUGCAGCAGGCAUGGAUCAGACUGCAAGCUAGGGGCACGAGGCAUCAGUUGGGAAGAGGGGACGCACAGCUAGGCUUGAGGCCUCUUCAUCGGGGUAAGUACCAGGGAGAAGAGGGGGAAGUGUGUCCAGUAAGAAGCCUGAGCUAAACCUGUCACCCUCUCAGGAGUUCUGAGAGUGGUCUCUAUAUUCCAUUAGUCCAUCCAGGGAUUUGUACACAUUCAUCCUUGGGAACCCAUCAAAGUCACCCCUUUAGGCAAGGAGAGGGUCUGAAACUCAGCUGGAAGGAAGAAGACUCAUUGAUUCCCCUGACCACCUUUUCUUCUCUUCUCUUACACAGAUGUC